AAGGAUUCCCCUAGUAACGGCGAGUGAAGCGGGAAGAGCUCAAAUUUAAAAUCUGGCAGUCUACGAUUGUCCGAAUUGUAAUCUCGAGAAGUGUUUUCCGCGUUGGCCUGUGCACAAGUCCCUUGGAACAGGGCGUCAUAGAGGGUGAGAAUCCCGUCCUUGGCACAGAUACCCAAUGCUUUGUGAUACACUCUCAAUGAGUCGAGUUGUUUGGGAAUGCAGCUCAAAAUGGGAGGUAAAUUCCUUCUAAAGCUAAAUACUGGCGAGAGACCGAUAGCGAACAAGUACCGUGAGGGAAAGAUGAAAAGCACUUUGGAAAGAGAGUCAAACAGUACGUGAAAUUGUUGAAAGGGAAACGAUUGAAGUCAGUCGUGCCUGCCUAGAUUCAGCCUUCUGGUGUAUUUCUAGGUCGGCAGGUCAGCAUCAGUUUGGGAGGGUUAACAAGGGGAUUAGGAAUGUGGCAACCUCGGUUGUGUUAUAGCCUAGUUUCGUAUUGAUCUUGCUGGACUGAGGAACGCAGUGCGCCCGCAAGGGUAGGUCUUCGGACACUUUCGCACUUAGGAUGCUGGCAUAAU
This 575-nucleotide ribosomal RNA is filed under the name Cystofilobasidium capitatum. RNAcentral describes it as "eukaryotic LSU rRNA". It matches the Rfam family "Eukaryotic large subunit ribosomal RNA", at positions 70 to 635 of the family's 3401-position model. The record is from RNAcentral. Lineage: Eukaryota; Fungi; Basidiomycota; Tremellomycetes; Cystofilobasidiales; Cystofilobasidiaceae.